UGACGUGAUUGUGCCCAAUGAAACAGGAGGCCUCGAUUCGUGCAGAAGAUAAGGUUUGAAACCCAGACAGCACGAAGCAUCUUGCCGACGUCAAAAUCAGAUCAACAGACAGGGACAUCAGCCUUCUCUUGGGAAUAGGCCAGAUAUGCCAGAACAAGAAAUGUCUAUAUCUUGGACUGAAAAAGGAUGCUUUGCCCCUGCGGUUGUGAAGAGGAUGCUGUGGAGGUGGCAGCAUGAACGUGUCACACAGACAUUGGCUAAACUACUCGGCUUCUACACUUGCCCUCAGAGUUCACAUAUGGUGAAGUGCACAGGUGUCCAGUCAGGUUCAGACUGAUGCUGGUAACAAGAGGAAAACAUGCUAAUUGGUAAGUGAGAUCCCUGCUCAACAAAAAUCCACACAGCACAACAAGUAAGCCUAGUUUGUGGUAUCAAAUGUAAAAUGGAAGUUUCAUCAAAAAGUUGUAGAACACAUCUGAAUAAAUUGCAGGCCAUCAAAGUUGUGAAUGGGCAGGGAAAACACAACCAGUAGGCUUAUGAAUUACUUUGACUCAGCACAGCACAGCAGAUGCGAUGCUACCAUUCCUUGGGAAUAUGACACAGAGGUCUACUAUUCCAUUGUAAAUAUUGACUGGAAAUGUUCAUGUUUCAACUGUUUUAAAAACAUUGGACUCAGGGGAAAAAAUCUCUAGGUGUAUAUAAGUGAAAGCCCACCUUUGCCAUUGUGACACAGCACACAAGUAUACACUGCACACAACGAAAUUGCAUUUUAUGCCUCACCUGUGCAAGGGUGCAGCCUACAUUGGCAUCCCAAGGGAGCAGUAUGUUGCAGUGUGGCGGGAAGGUACCAUACUUGGGGUACCUCAGUCAUGGAGGAUGGUGGAGAGAGCACUGGUUAAUUACUCCCUCCACCAACCUGGCGGGCUGGGAGAUGAACCAGCAACCUUUGGGUUGUUCAGCCCUGGGCUACAGGACACCCUAACCGCUUACCAAUGACUGCCCCACUUAUCCUUGACUGUAUAUAAAAAAU
Molecule: long non-coding RNA, 1030 nt
Organism: Engraulis encrasicolus (European anchovy)
Lineage: Eukaryota; Metazoa; Chordata; Actinopteri; Clupeiformes; Engraulidae
Exons: 4
Source: RefSeq, a predicted model, not a curated record